Molecule: ribosomal RNA, 475 nt
Filed under: uncultured bacterium
Lineage: Bacteria
Description: bacterial SSU rRNA
Rfam family: Bacterial small subunit ribosomal RNA
Source: RNAcentral
UUGAACGCUGGCGGCAUGCCUUACACAUGCAAGUCGAACGGUAACAGGUUAAGCUGACGAGUGGCGAACGGGUGAGUAAUAUAUCGGAACGUGCCCAGUCGUGGGGGAUAACUGCUCGAAAGAGCAGCUAAUACCGCAUACGACCUGAGGGUGAAAGCGGGGGAUCGCAAGACCUCGCGCGAUUGGAGCGGCCGAUAUCAGAUUAGGUAGUUGGUGGGGUAAAGGCCCACCAAGCCAACGAUCUGUAGCUGGUCUGAGAGGACGACCAGCCACACUGGGACUGAGACACGGCCCAGACUCCUACGGGAGGCAGCAGUGGGGAAUUUUGGACAAUGGACGCAAGUCUGAUCCAGCCAUGCCGCGUGCGGGAAGAAGGCCUUCGGGUUGUAAACCGCUUUUGUCAGGGAAGAAACGGCUCGCUCUAAUACAGUGGGCUAAUGACGGUACCUGAAGAAUAAGCACCGGCUAACUACGU